UACGGAGGGUGCGAGCGUUAAUCGGAAUUACUGGGCGUAAAGCGUCCGUAGGCGGCUUGUUAAGUCUGAUGUGAAAGCCCUGGGCUUAACCUGGGAACGGCAUUGGAUACUGGCGAGCUAGAGUUCGGUAGAGGGUGGUGGAAUUCCCGGUGUAGCGGUGAAAUGCGUAGAGAUCGGGAGGAACACCGGUGGCAAAGGCGGCCACCUGGACCGAGACUGACGCUGAGGGACGAAAGCGUGGGGAGCAAACAGG
RNAcentral lists this ribosomal RNA (253 nucleotides) under uncultured bacterium. Its description in RNAcentral is "partial 16S ribosomal RNA". It matches the Rfam family "Bacterial small subunit ribosomal RNA", at positions 524 to 776 of the family's 1533-position model. The record is from RNAcentral.